Molecule: small nucleolar RNA, 109 nt
Filed under: Oryza meridionalis
Lineage: Eukaryota; Viridiplantae; Streptophyta; Magnoliopsida; Poales; Poaceae
Description: Plant small nucleolar RNA R71
Rfam family: Plant small nucleolar RNA R71
About the family: R71 is a member of the C/D box family of snoRNAs containing the C (UGAUGA) and D (CUGA) box motifs.
Source: Rfam by way of RNAcentral
AUCCCAUGAUGAGGACAGGUGGCCACAUAUUCUUGAAGUCGUUCCCACGCCUCAGGAAUAGACUCAUCCCUCGUCUGCUGGAAACUCCAAAAAUUCGUCCACGAAGGGC